AACGCAAAAUUCACAGCCAUUAGCAACGCUAAAGCAUUCCUUUGAGGUUGAACCCAUUUUCGGCGUUCUUGACCCAUGACCAUUGGGAUAUUGUUGUACAUUUUGUUUUGUUUGAUGGACUGGAGAAUAAAAUUCAUUGAUCUUGGGUGCAGCAUCCCAUCUGUUGAAUAAAUUUUACUUUAUUUCUAAGGGAUUACCUUCGUGUGCCCGUAUGGGGGAUGGUGCAAUGAUCAGUGAGACAUUU
This 244-nucleotide small nucleolar RNA is filed under the name Candida maltosa Xu316. Lineage: Eukaryota; Fungi; Ascomycota; Pichiomycetes; Serinales; Debaryomycetaceae. The record is from RNAcentral.